GGGAGGGGGGGGGGGGGGGGGUGAGGGAGUAAAGGGAGGUUCAAUUGGCAGAGAACCACUUCAUAAAAGUUGAAAUGUGCUUUUUGUAAUCUCGUAUUUCUUUCAUUGAACAUGACAUCUUUCGCUGUGGAGGAAUGUUACAGAAGACCUGCGUCGGGUUCCGGAGCAGAUCGGGCGGCGUGCACGAAACAGGCCUUUCACGCAGCGAAGGGAAAGGGUUUGAGAUUGAGCAGGAUGAGCGCAACGUGCUUGGGCCAAGGUCUCUCCCAGCUUGUAUGAAUGAAUUGCUGUCGGCUGGGUAAUAGAAGUGGGUCACAUGGACGUUAUUUAAGACGUGUACUUCCACUCGAGCACAUUUGGCUGUCAUAGCACUGGCGAUCCGUCCACCAUGCGUUCGUCACAGCCGAAAUUAUCUCAUUUAAUUAUGGGCGGGGGUUGUUUAGUUAACAACGGCUUUAAGCUGCCUUGGAUAUCGGUGCUAAAAGAAAUCAGCAAUAAAACUGUAACACAGAUCGGAUUAAGUGCUUCCUUUUCACAAAUUACCCUCAUGCCCCCUCUGGAAAGCCACACCAGAAGAUUAUCGGUUUGGGAUUUCUUACGGAAAUCACUGCAUCAGAUGUCGCAGCGCAGUCGAUGCAACUGCAUUAAACGAAGUGCAGCCUCAUGUCAGAGGUCAUCCUGGAGAAACAAAAAGGACUACAGUCAUCUUUUUGGGGGGGGGUUUACUGAAUGAGAUGUUGUGUGAGGUUUAAGACGAGGUCAAAGGGGACAGUUUUCUGCCUGACUUGAUCGGGGCUAAAUUGUCUCGUUCCUUGAUGUUCAGGGGAGCUAUUAGGGGUUGUGUGUCUUGCUCAGGGACACACAGAAUUCGAACCAUCGUCGCAGAUAUAAAAUCUUAAAUCAAUACGGUCAGUGAUAUUUAAAGAAGUGGGCAGAGACGACGGCGACUUGCAUUCUUGUAAAUCCGGCGCUUUGAGUCGUCAUGUUUCCUUUGGUUCUCAGAAGAACCGACAAAGUAAAAAGCAGGAUGAGGCCAUUGCGCGCGCGCGUGUGAUAGAAUGUUUCUUUUUAACCGGAGCUUUCUUUUUCCUUCUCCCACUUUUCUCUCUCUCUCUCCCUCCCCUCCCUUUUUAUUUUCCUGGCCCGUCACCCUUUGAAAUCAAAGAGCCUCUCUAGCCGUCGGCCAGGGGCCCAGUGGGCUUUUCGUCCUCUUCCUGGUCCUCCGGGUUGGGACUCGGGCCACGAGGCCCUCUGGACCGGCUCAGCCGACAUUUUGUUGCAGAUUGGCGAAAGACGGGCCGCGCGCCUCGCAGCUUCAGUCCCCCGUUACGUUGCCUCGACCAGGCGGCUGUGGAAAACCAAGGUCAGGCAUUUUCCAAAUUAGUAGCUUCACCAGGAUGAUUUGGGAUUGAUUUGUGCUCCAAUUAUCACCCCACACGCACACUAAAAAGCUCCACGCGCUUAUUUCCCAGGAAAUUCUAACUGAUAGCUCCAUUCAACCUAGUUUCAUUGAUGAUGCCGAGGCAAUACUGGAUGGAUCGUUUUAGAAAUUAGGGAAAAGGGGAGAGAGGAACCUCUGAGUUCAUGCCAACCGUCUGGCUCCGAACUGCCGAUGACUUCACCCUCUAAAUCCCAUCCCAUCCCACUGUGAGACAGACAACUGGAUUGAAGCUUCUGCUGUCAUACUGUAAAUGGAAUUCACAGUUUUAUUGAGUUAAGAUGCUACAUUUCAUCAUUAUUGUUUCACUUUAAUGGGCCUGUGAAAUACUGUUACCACUUACACAGAAAAUAGAUUCUUCCUCACUUUUCUGUUGAAUUGUCCCGAUCUGUUUUUUCUACCCAUUUUCAACCAUGCAGCUAUCGAUAAAACAGCUUUUAAUGUUGAUUAAAUAAAAUGCCUCCUAGUCUUAGCGUAUUUGUGGUCCAAUCUGCUGGAAAUGUUGUGGACAUCUUGCCUGUUCAUUGAACCCACGCAAGGACUUAAGGGUUUCUAGAACUAACACUAACUGCACUUUUAUUUCGCCCCCGAGGCCGCCCGCUCCGCAGUGUGACCGCACGCAGGAUGGAGGAAAGAUUUACUGUAAUUCUCGGCUGUUUUGAUAUCAGACAGCCUGUUGAGUAAUAAAGGUCAAGGUCUGUUAACCUUUGCGGCUGGGAACGGAUGAUGCGUACAAACCCCGUUUGCUGGUUGACUCACUGCUGACACGUGCCAGAUAAGCGGCGGUGCCG
Long non-coding RNA from Gasterosteus aculeatus aculeatus (three-spined stickleback), 2229 nucleotides. The record is from Ensembl. NCBI's taxonomy places the organism in Eukaryota, Metazoa, Chordata, Actinopteri, Perciformes, Gasterosteidae.